RNAcentral lists this long non-coding RNA (1251 nucleotides) under Linum usitatissimum (flax). Its description in RNAcentral is "long non-coding RNA (LUSI_LNC003912)". Lineage: Eukaryota; Viridiplantae; Streptophyta; Magnoliopsida; Malpighiales; Linaceae. The record is from RNAcentral.
UUACAACUCCGUUUUUCCCCUCUGUAUUCCACCUCUCCUUUCAUCCCUUCCUCAACGAUGACAAUUUUCCCGUCCAACUGACGCCGGAGAAGGAUGACCAAAAGCCCCCAUUUUCCUCCUUUCAUAAAAGGUCUGCUUCUCGCCACCUGAAAUUGAUGAUCUUGUUGUCUUUCAUUUUGUAUUGAAUCCCGAUUCCCCCUUGAUUUCAGAAAGAUUAAUAUUUUCUUUUUAAUCAUCUCCCGAGAUCUACCCAUUUGAAAGAACCCUAGCACAACUCUCCUUCCUUUUUUGUUCUCCGCCUCCACACUCUCCCUCUGUUCUUUUCAAAUCAAUAGAAGCAACAAAACCGACAUACUUGGUUCAUAAAGUAUCUCUAGAUGAAAAUCCACCUGCUAUAAUUUAUCUCGCAAUAAGGUCAAUCUUCUUAGCCGUCCAAAAAGGUCAUUAUCAAGUUCAAUAAAAACCGCUAAUCGUCAUUUUCAUAUCCACUAUCGUCGUUUCCCACUCCAGAUCAGUGCUGUCAAUUUCAGAUCCACAUCCACAACCAUUUCAAACCCAAUUCAAUAUUGUCUUCCUAGUUCUAUAAUAGUUCAAUCCGAGGUGUUCAAUGAAUCUGUGUCUGGCUUUCAAUGGCUAUUUAGCGCAACACCUCCGGUAUUGAUACACGAGCUUGAUGGAUUCAUUGUUUGGUCAGUUACUGCCCAUCAUCGCCUAAAAACGUUCAUCAAAUUGACGUCGUUGCCGGGGACUUCUUUCUAGUAUAUGAAAGUAGUUCGAUUACUAUAAAUCUUCAUUUCCGCUUUAAAUUUUUGCAUUCACAUUUAAUUUUCACGGUGUUUAUUAUUUUUCUUUGUGCUGGAGAAAAUUCAUUGCAUGUCACCAGUAGUGACACGAUCCAAAUCAGGCCAAAGUUCUCACCAAGACUCGCGCUCAUCAACGGAAGAAGGAGAGAUUUUGACUCUCUCAAGGGUUUAUUCGAAAGUGACAAUGAAUCUAGACUCGAAGGCUCUUCAAACUCAGAUUAUUCAAACACUCCCACCGACCACAGUUACACGUCCAAACUUACAGAACCAAUGGCGGCAGCAAAAACUCUAGUCGAUUACACUAAGCCUAGUGUUGCGAACUCGAUAUCUAGUGUGAUUCCUCCUGAGUAGUAUGAUGCCAAUUAUGAGAUAAAGGGGAAUCUCAUCUUCUUAAGUCAACAUAAUUUGUAGUUUGAAGGGAAAACUAAUGAAAAUCCAUGUGCUCAUC